UGCAGUCGAACGAGUUCUGAUUAUUGAAAGGUGCUUGCAUCUUGAUUUAAUUUUGAACGAGUGGCGGACGGGUGAGUAACACGUGGGUAACCUGCCCUUAAGUGGGGGAUAACAUUUGGAAACAGAUGCUAAUACCGCAUAAAUCCAAGAACCGCAUGGUUCUUGGCUGAAAGAUGGCGUAAGCUAUCGCUUUUGGAUGGACCCGCGGCGUAUUAGCUAGUUGGUGAGGUAACGGCUCACCAAGGCAAUGAUACGUAGCCGAACUGAGAGGUUGAUCGGCCACAUUGGGACUGAGACACGGCCCAAACUCCUACGGGAGGCAGCAGUAGGGAAUCUUCCACAAUGGACGCAAGUCUGAUGGAGCAACGCCGCGUGAGUGAAGAAGGCUUUCGGGUCGUAAAACUCUGUUGUUGGAGAAGAAUGGUCGGCAGAGUAACUGUUGUCGGCGUGACGGUAUCCAACCAGAAAGCCACGGCUAACUACGUGCCAGCAGCCGCGGUAAUACGUAGGUGGCAAGCGUUAUCCGGAUUUAUUGGGCGUAAAGCGAGCGCAGGCGGUUUUUUAAGUCUGAUGUGAAAGCCCUCGGCUUAACCGAGGAAGUGCAUCGGAAACUGGGAAACUUGAGUGCAGAAGAGGACAGUGGAACUCCAUGUGUAGCGGUGAAAUGCGUAGAUAUAUGGAAGAACACCAGUGGCGAAGGCGGCUGUCUGGUCUGUAACUGACGCUGAGGCUCGAAAGCAUGGGUAGCGAACAGGAUUAGAUACCCUGGUAGUCCAUGCCGUAAACGAUGAAUGCUAGGUGUUGGAGGGUUUCCGCCCUUCAGUGCCGCAGCUAACGCAUUAAGCAUUCCGCCUGGGGAGUACGACCGCAAGGUUGAAACUCAAAGGAAUUGACGGGGGCCCGCACAAGCGGUGGAGCAUGUGGUUUAAUUCGAAGCAACGCGAAGAACCUUACCAGGUCUUGACAUCUUUUGAUCACCUGAGAGAUCAGGUUUCCCCUUCGGGGGCAAAAUGACAGGUGGUGCAUGGUUGUCGUCAGCUCGUGUCGUGAGAUGUUGGGUUAAGUCCCGCAACGAGCGCAACCCUUAUGACUAGUUGCCAGCAUUUAGUUGGGCACUCUAGUAAGACUGCCGGUGACAAACCGGAGGAAGGUGGGGAUGACGUCAAAUCAUCAUGCCCCUUAUGACCUGGGCUACACACGUGCUACAAUGGAUGGUACAACGAGUUGCGAGACCGCGAGGUCAAGCUAAUCUCUUAAAGCCAUUCUCAGUUCGGACUGUAGGCUGCAACUCGCCUACACGAAGUCGGAAUCGCUAGUAAUCGCGGAUCAGCACGCCGCGGUGAAUACGUUCCCGGGCCUUGUACACACCGCCCGUCACACCAUGAGAGUUUGUAACACCCGAAGCCGGUGGCGUAACCCUUUUAGGGAGCGAGCC
RNAcentral lists this ribosomal RNA (1435 nucleotides) under Lacticaseibacillus rhamnosus. RNAcentral's name for it is "bacterial SSU rRNA". It matches the Rfam family "Bacterial small subunit ribosomal RNA". Lineage: Bacteria; Bacillati; Bacillota; Bacilli; Lactobacillales; Lactobacillaceae. The record is from RNAcentral.